GGAGGCUUAGCAGGGGAAUACGCAGGUCAGCGGCAUGGUGUGGCACUAUGCGGCGCGGGGCGCGACCUGCAUGAUCAGUCUUGAAAAUUCGUGGGCCCCUCGCGGGUCCCGUGGGUUCGAAUCCCACCGCCUCCG
Molecule: transfer RNA, 135 nt
Filed under: Actinomycetota bacterium
Lineage: Bacteria; Bacillati; Actinomycetota
Description: tRNA-Ser
Source: RNAcentral